This 206-nucleotide ribosomal RNA is filed under the name Klebsiella pneumoniae. RNAcentral's name for it is "partial 23S ribosomal RNA". It matches the Rfam family "Bacterial large subunit ribosomal RNA", at positions 37 to 243 of the family's 2925-position model. Lineage: Bacteria; Pseudomonadati; Pseudomonadota; Gammaproteobacteria; Enterobacterales; Enterobacteriaceae. The record is from RNAcentral.
CAGUCAGAGGCGAUGAAGGACGUGCUAAUCUGCGAAAAGCGUCGGUAAGGUGAUAUGAACCGUUAUAACCGGCGAUGUCCGAAUGGGGAAACCCAGUGCAAUUCGUUGCACUAUCGUUAACUGAAUACAUAGGUUAACGAGGCGAACCGGGGGAACUGAAACAUCUAAGUACCCCGAGGAAAAGAAAUCAACCGAGAUUCCCCCAG